This is a small nucleolar RNA of Arvicanthis niloticus (Nile rat), 131 nucleotides long. RefSeq annotates it as small nucleolar RNA SNORA17. Lineage: Eukaryota; Metazoa; Chordata; Mammalia; Rodentia; Muridae. The record is from RefSeq and is a predicted model, not a curated record.
AGUAAAAAAAGAAUUAAAACAGACGUGGCGGGUGUGUCACAUGUGCAUCGGUAGGUGGCAGAGAGGAGAGGAAUAUGUCUAUGUUCAAUAUUCUCACCUAUGAAUAUCUAAAUGAUUAGCAUCCUAACAUU